UUUAAACCCUAAAUAUGAUUUUAACUUCUUAUAUUA
RNAcentral lists this transfer RNA (36 nucleotides) under Orobdella brachyepididymis. RNAcentral describes it as "partial tRNA-Leu". Lineage: Eukaryota; Metazoa; Annelida; Clitellata; Hirudinida; Orobdellidae. The record is from RNAcentral.